This 398-nucleotide unclassified non-coding RNA is filed under the name uncultured Inocybe. Its description in RNAcentral is "sequence contains ITS2". The stretch from base 1 to 154 matches the Rfam family "5.8S ribosomal RNA". Lineage: Eukaryota; Fungi; Basidiomycota; Agaricomycetes; Agaricales; Cortinariaceae. The record is from RNAcentral.
AACUUGUGGCAACGGAUCACUUGGCUCUCCCAGCGAUGAAGAACGCAGCGAAAUGCGAUAAGUAAUGUGAAUUGCAGAAUUCAGUGAAUCAUCGAAUCUUUGAACGCAUCUUGCGCCCCUUGGUAUUCCGAGGAGCAUGCCUGUUUGAGUGUCAUUUGACCUUCUCUCAACCAUAUCAGUCAAUGAUGUGGCUUGGAUGUGGGGUUGCAGGCUUCCGAGUAUGAAAGUCCAGCUCCCCUGAAAUGCAUUAGUGGUAUCUGUCUGAGCUGCUAUUUGGUGUGAUAACUUAUCUAUGCCUUUUGGUGAUCAGCACCGCUUAUAAACCAUCGAUUUGACAAAUUUGACCUCAAAUCAGGUAGGACUACCCGCUGAACUUAAGCUAUCAAUAAGCGGAGGCU